AUUGGUUUUAGCUUACGAAUACUUUUGUUGCACAUAUUUCUUCAUUUUCUUGUAUGGGAUGCCAAAUGUGCUGCUGAAUCUGCAGAAUGGUGCUUCUCCAUGUGCUUUAGUAAACCUCAAUUGUUUCACAGAAUACAUGUAAAAAGUGACCCUGGUUUCCACAACUAUACUUCACAGUGAUUCACUACCGUCUGGUGAAAUCCCACACUAGAAGAAGCUGAGACUGCAUGAAAAUCUGGAGACCAAAAUCUGUGCCACAGUGACCAGAAGGGUCGGGAGCUCAUGCCCUGAAAAAAAUCCUUUCGCCAUUGAAGGUGUGCAGCCAGACUGAAGCACUGACCUUCAGGAAGAGGUGAAUUUCAUCAGGAUCUCUUCAUAAUCUGAGAUUUAAGUAUAGAAUCCUCAAUUUGAACAAAUACAGAUGAGAUGAGAGUUUUUUGAGGCAGCUCUCUGUCCUUACAGAAUGCCACUGACAAAAUCUCUUUGAAUCAUUGCAACAGUUAUGACAGCAGCUAGGCCACUUGGACACAAAGAAGCAAGCGAGACAUUUCAGCGGAUAAAUAGGAGCAGUAGCCAUCAGCAGAUAUGUCACCACUGCUUGUGCAAGUAACUGGAACUGAUAUCCUCUGUCCAACGAUGGCUGAUAGAGUGGCAGACUGGGUUCUGAAGGAAAGACGAUGCUCUCAGGACAGAUGUGGGAGUACCUGGCCCAGGGACAUCAUCACAGGUUCCUGCCCAGAAGUUUUGCAAAGUGUGGAGGUGAGUGCUGUUAGGAGUUCUGCCUCCCUAGUGGUAAUGAGGGAUAAGCAUGUUAAAACAUGUUAGCACAGCAGGCAAAGGGAUGUGUGAUAUGAUUGCAGUUCUAAAAUGAAAUUAGUGGUGUGAAGGG
RNAcentral lists this long non-coding RNA (889 nucleotides) under Coturnix japonica (Japanese quail). RNAcentral's name for it is "lncRNA (ENSCJPG00005000169.1)". The record is from RNAcentral. Lineage: Eukaryota; Metazoa; Chordata; Aves; Galliformes; Phasianidae.